GGGCGCUAGCUCAAUCACGGUAGAGCAAUGGAGUUCGGCUGGGGCUACUCCAGAGAUGCGGGUUCGAAUCCCGCCCGCCCA
RNAcentral lists this transfer RNA (81 nucleotides) under Arthrobacter sp. ZXY-2. Its description in RNAcentral is "tRNA-Arg". It matches the Rfam family "tRNA". From Rfam's summary of the family: Transfer RNA (tRNA) molecules are approximately 80 nucleotides in length. Their secondary structure includes four short double-helical elements and three loops (D, anti-codon, and T loops). Lineage: Bacteria; Bacillati; Actinomycetota; Actinomycetes; Micrococcales; Micrococcaceae. The record is from RNAcentral.